CAGUCGCCACGGUAAUACGAAGGGGGCUAGCGUUGCUCGGAAUGACUGGGCGUAAAGGGCGCGUAGGCGGAUUGUACAGUCAGACGUGAAAUUCCUGGGCUCAACCUGGGGACUGCGUUUGAGACGUGCGAUCUAGAGUUUGGAAGAGGGUCGUGGAAUUCCCAGUGUAGAGGUGAAAUUCGUAGAUAUUGGGAAGAACACCGGUGGCGAAGGCGGCAACCUGGUCCUUGACUGACGCUGAGGCGCGAAGGCGUGGGGAGCAAACAGGAUUAGAUACCCCUGUAGUCCCUGUCUCUUAUAC
RNAcentral lists this ribosomal RNA (301 nucleotides) under uncultured bacterium. Its description in RNAcentral is "partial 16S ribosomal RNA". It matches the Rfam family "Bacterial small subunit ribosomal RNA", at positions 509 to 807 of the family's 1533-position model. The record is from RNAcentral.